GACGAACGCUGGCGGCGUGCUUAACACACGCAAGUCGAACGGUGAAGCUCCAGCUUGCUGGAGUGGAUCAGUGGCGAACGGGUGAGUAACACGUGAGCAACCUGCCCCAGACUCUGGAAUAAGCGCUGGAAACGGCGUCUAAUACUGGAUACGAGAUCAAGCCGCAUGGUUAUGGUCUGGAAAGUUUUUCGGUUUGGGAUGGGCUCGCGGCCUAUCAGCUUGUUGGUGAGGUAAUGGCUCACCAAGGCGACGACGGGUAGCCGGCCUGAGAGGGCGACCGGCCACACUGGGACUGAGACACGGCCCAGACUCCUACGGGAGGCAGCAGUGGGGAAUAUUGCACAAUGGGCGAAAGCCUGAUGCAGCGACGCCGCGUGAGGGAUGACGGCCUUCGGGUUGUAAACCUCUUUCAGCAGGGAAGAAGCGAAAGUGACGGUACCUGCAGAAGAAGCACCGGCUAACUACGUG
This 468-nucleotide ribosomal RNA is filed under the name uncultured bacterium. Its description in RNAcentral is "partial 16S ribosomal RNA". It matches the Rfam family "Bacterial small subunit ribosomal RNA", at positions 28 to 507 of the family's 1533-position model. The record is from RNAcentral.